This 348-nucleotide unclassified non-coding RNA is filed under the name soil metagenome. Its description in RNAcentral is "partial contains 5.8S ribosomal RNA, internal transcribed spacer 2, and large subunit ribosomal RNA". The stretch from base 1 to 120 matches the Rfam family "5.8S ribosomal RNA", at positions 35 to 154 of the family's 154-position model. The record is from RNAcentral.
GAUGAAGAACGUAGCGAAAUGCGAUAAGUAAUGUGAAUUGCAGAAUUCAGUGAAUCAUCGAGUCUUUGAACGCACAUUGCGCCCCCUGGUAUUCCGGGGGGCAUGCCUGUCCGAGCGUCAUUGCCGCCCUCAAGCACGGCUUGUGUGUUGGGCCCCCGCCCCCCGGCUUCGGGGGGCGGGCCCGAAAGGCAGCGGCGGCACCGCGUCCGGUCCUCGAGCGUAUGGGGCUUCGUCACCCGCUCUGUAGGCCCGGCCGGCGCCCGCCGGCGACCCCAAUCAAUCUUUCCAGGUUGACCUCGGAUCAGGUAGGGAUACCCGCUGAACUUUAGCAUAUCAAUAAGCGGAGGA